This 306-nucleotide unclassified non-coding RNA is filed under the name Tricholomataceae sp. Its description in RNAcentral is "partial contains 5.8S ribosomal RNA, internal transcribed spacer 2, and large subunit ribosomal RNA". The record is from RNAcentral. Lineage: Eukaryota; Fungi; Basidiomycota; Agaricomycetes; Agaricales; Tricholomataceae.
CGCAUCUUGCACCUUGGGGUAUUCCCUAAGGUAUGUCUGUCUGAGUGUUAUUUGAACUCUCAAAGUCCCUUUCCUUUGAUCGGGUCGGGGUUCUUUGGAUCUUGGGUUUGCGAUGUGCUCACCUCAAAUAGAAUGUGGCAUUCGCCUCUGAAGCCGCCGUCGGGUCUGACCUGGAGUGAUAGAAGUCUUUCGAGAUCUCUGGGGAACCGUCUCAGGGCGGUGCCUGUGGUGGUGGGAGGGAGUGUCUUGCAGACUCAUAUUGACGUUUUUGACCUCAGAUCAGGCAGGACUACCCACUGAACUUAA